GAUUUGUCAAUCUGAUAAUUUUAGUCCACGCAUUUGCAACGGUUCAAAUUUUCCGCUACUCUUACCUUUGAGAGUUCGGCAACGACUUGCUUGUAGUUCUUUUUGGUUAAUGAUGCAACUAAAUAACUUAUUUGUGACAAGAAAAGACGCGCAAAAAAAAACUACACCACCCGGAACACGCACGAAAAUGGCAGGAAAACGUCAACUUUUCACAUGUGCUUCGAAAGCCGAAGAAAACUAAUGAUCCGAAUUUGAAACUGCAGCGGCACCUCACGUCAUGAACGGAAUAAAACUCGUACCAGAAUCACAGGAACACUCUUUUAGUGUUCCUUAACAACAUUGAAGAGUUUGUGCUUAUCGCAGGAAUAAAGGGAAAGAUAGAAUCUGAAUUGAUCUAAAUUCAUUUGGAGCACAUUUUGUCAAACGUUUGAAUUUUCGCAGGAGCUGUGAUUAGUUGAUUACCAUACCAGAGGAUAAAUUUGUUGAGGACCCAAAGUGGUUGGGAGUUGUAUGGUAGUAGUGGUCCGGAUUUAUACAGUCACUAAAAUGGAUGGUUACACCACAUCAUGUUAGAUAAAUUCAAAGGUUUGCCCAAACCGUUGAACAAGUGGGGUCCCAAGCACCCAACUUUGCGGCAACUUGGAUUCAGUGGAACAGUAAGGCAAAACGAGGUAAGAGAUACACCGGCUCGGUGAAGAGGAACGCGAAAAAAGCAACGCAGAAUCGAACGAGUAAUCGAGUAUAUUUUGCUAUUUGCAAAAUAAGCAAAAUCCAACUCAAAAUGGGAUUAAGGAUUAAGUCUCCAGGUUUGGUUCUCACAGUAAAUAUACGGAAAACGUACAAAAUAAUUGGGUUAAGGCGAGUAUUAAUCCGUUGUUGAGAACGCAAUUCAUGAUAGUUCCAAUUCGGAAGAGGAGCCUUUAGGAAGGGGCCGUAUGUUAUUCCAAACACUAAUAUUAUGCAUGUUUGUCAAGCGAAGAUGCCACUGCACAGAACUGUGAUUUUUCCGAAAUUAUUUUUGUGUAUAGCUACUAGAUAUUGUGUUACAGUUUUUUUUUAAAUAAAGUGAUAAAAUGUA
Molecule: long non-coding RNA, 1078 nt
Organism: Tribolium castaneum (red flour beetle)
Lineage: Eukaryota; Metazoa; Arthropoda; Insecta; Coleoptera; Tenebrionidae
Exons: 5
Source: RefSeq, a predicted model, not a curated record